AACUAACAUCCGCUACCACUUAAUUACUUUCAGAAUUACAACAAAAAACAUAGCAAUUUGAUUAUAAGUUUUCGAUUGGGGUGAUCACGGAGUAAAAAACAACCUCCACGACGAACGGACUAACCUUCUUAACAAAAAGCGACAGCUUUAUGCAUUAACAUAUUAACGCCUUUGACCCAUUAUUUGAUCAACGAACCAAGUUACCCUAGGGAUAACAGCGCAAUCUACUUCGAGAGCCCCUAUCGACAAGUGGGUUUACGACCUCGAUGUUGGAUCAGGGUGUCCCAGUGGUGCAGCCGCUACUAACGGUUCGUUUGUUCAACGAUUAAAACCCUACGUGAUCUGAGUUCAGACCGGAGUAAUCCAGGUCCUAUAUG
RNAcentral lists this ribosomal RNA (377 nucleotides) under Bokermannohyla circumdata (Espirito Santo treefrog). RNAcentral describes it as "partial large subunit ribosomal RNA". It matches the Rfam family "Bacterial large subunit ribosomal RNA", at positions 2185 to 2632 of the family's 2925-position model. Lineage: Eukaryota; Metazoa; Chordata; Amphibia; Anura; Hylidae. The record is from RNAcentral.